Molecule: ribosomal RNA, 406 nt
Filed under: uncultured bacterium
Lineage: Bacteria
Description: partial 16S ribosomal RNA
Rfam family: Bacterial small subunit ribosomal RNA
Source: RNAcentral
AUUGAACGCUGGCGGCAGGCCUAACACAUGCAAGUCGAACGAGCGGCGGACGGGUGAGUAAUGUCUGGGAAACUGCCUGAUGGAGGGGGAUAACUACUGGAAACGGUGGCUAAUACCGCAUACCAUCAGAUGUACCCAUAUGGGAUUAGCUUGUUGGUGGGGUAACGGCUCACCAAGGCGAAGAUCCCUAGCUGGUCUGAGAGGAUGCAACUCCACACUGGAACUGAGACACGGUCCAGACGCCUACGGUAGGCAGCAGUGGGGAAUAUUGCACAAGGGGCGCAAGCCUGAUGCAGCCAUGCCGCGGUUAUGAAGAAGGCCUUCGGGUUGUAAAGUACUUACAGCGGGGAGGCGUUACCCGCAGAAGAAGCACCGGCUAACUCCGGGCCAGCAGCCGCGGUAAUCC